Long non-coding RNA from Salvia splendens (bonfire salvia), 383 nucleotides. RefSeq lists it as uncharacterized. NCBI's taxonomy places the organism in Eukaryota, Viridiplantae, Streptophyta, Magnoliopsida, Lamiales, Lamiaceae. The transcript is spliced from 3 exons. The record is from RefSeq and is a predicted model, not a curated record.
ACGUCGACUGCACCGUGACAGCAGCUCGCGAACAGCAGCAACGGUGCCGGCGUCGAGUGCGAACAGCUCCGUGACCGGCGGACAGCAGCUCGCGUUGAUAAAUCAGCGGCCAAGACGAGCAGCGACGGUGCUGUGAUGGAGACGGUGAGGAGAAAGGCCGGGGCAGCGGCGUGAACCAGCAAAGUGACGAUCUCGCCUCUGUGAUUACCACGACAAUGGUGCUGCAAAUUAAGUGAAGAAGAGAGAUUAGGAAUUUCACUCCUAUUUUGGCUUUUCACGUGAGGAAAUGGAUUACAUUAAAUCAAAGGGUGACUCUAUGCACGCUCCUCGAUAACGGAAUGGAACACAAGUUAAGGCUUUAAACGAAUGAGGUUGAGCGUGGA